Non-coding RNA from Electrophorus electricus (electric eel), 695 nucleotides. The record is from RefSeq and is a predicted model, not a curated record. Lineage: Eukaryota; Metazoa; Chordata; Actinopteri; Gymnotiformes; Gymnotidae.
UUAAAUGUCCUUAUCAACUGUAAACAAAUUACAAGUUGUCUUGUGAAAAUCAUGACGCCUUUGAAGCUAAAUGAGAGACUAUUCCCCCUCCAACCAAUCUGUCGUUGAUACUGGUUACGUGAAUCUUGAAUCACAGAUACACUUCGAGCGUGACUGGUCAGCGACAACGGGGAUUUUAUCACUUGUAGACCUUUUUCCGCUGCAAACUGAAACGGUCAACCGUAUACAAAACCGUUCUACGAUAUCUUGCAUUUCCAACUUGAUUCAGGGCGCGUGGUCGAAACGACAGUGUUAAACAAACUGUUCGUCAAUAUUUAUAAAGAAAAUCAUGGAUAGAGAAUGGAUAAGAAUUUAUCAAGACUGGUGAACUGAUGAUUCGGAUAUAGACUGCAAAUUUAAUUCACCAUUAUGCUGUGGAGAGGACUGCAGCUACUAUUCAUGAUAUUGCUUCCAUUAAAUUCAGUGCAGAGCUCAGAGUCCCCCCCAGUCAUGAGCAGUGACCUGUUUCCAGAAGUAGCCUACGCACCAGGGCAAUCGUAUUUGAGCCUUGUACUUUUGGCUCUUACUGUGGGACUGACUGGUAGCAUUUACCUCUGUGUUCUGCGCUACAUCUGUAACGGAUGCUGCCAGCCUAUAGGAGUGGGGCCAGAAGAUGACAGCCUGUCUGGAGUGGUCUGAAAAUAGGUGUGUGUGUA